RNAcentral lists this ribosomal RNA (764 nucleotides) under Austrochloritis kippara. Its description in RNAcentral is "partial large subunit ribosomal RNA". The stretch from base 366 to 520 matches the Rfam family "Archaeal large subunit ribosomal RNA", at positions 1885 to 2088 of the family's 2987-position model. Lineage: Eukaryota; Metazoa; Mollusca; Gastropoda; Stylommatophora; Camaenidae. The record is from RNAcentral.
UAAAUUAGAAGAAUUUAAAUUAAAUAACACGAAGUUGAAGGAGCUACUUAUUAUUUACUUAUAGGUAAGAGAUGUUGCAAAAUCGAGAGUAAUAAUAAUUAGGAGUGAUAGGCUUAUCAUAUUCAACGAUAACUUGAUGAUUUAGAAAUGUACUAGUACGAAGGCAUUCUUGAAGUGAUAAGGUUUCAGGGAAAGACAAAUUGGUAAAUUUAUUUUGUAUCUUAUUUAAUCAUAAAUGCAGUAUUAAUUUAAUAUUAAAUUAAUAGAGAUUGUUAAAAUUAUAAAUCGGUUUAAAAAUUUUUUUGUAUAUUUUUAAUGUUUAUAUUAGUAUCUUAGAAAUAUUAAUAAUGAACUCGGCAAAAAGCCUUUCAACUGUUUAUCAAAAACAUAGCUGUAUGUAUUAAUAUAUAGUAAUUUCUGCUCAAUGAACAAUUAAAUAGCCGCAGUACCCUGACUGUGCUAAGGUAGCGCAAUCAAUUGACUUUUAAAUGGAGUCCAGUAUGAAGGAAACUAUGAAGGGUUACUUUAUCUUUAGUAAUUAUUGAAUUUACUUAGGAAGUGAAAAUUCUUCCAGAUAAUUAAAAGACGAGAAGACCCUAGAAAUUUUAAAGAAGUGAUUUUUUGUUGGGGCAACAAAGUAGUAAAUAAUCUACUUAAAUGACAAGAAAUUAAUAUUUAGUAAGAUUAAAUUACUCUAGGGAUAACAGCAUAAUUUGCGAAAGUUUGUGACCUCGAUGUUGGAUUAGGGAAUUUACAUUUAGAAG